Non-coding RNA from Pangasianodon gigas (Mekong giant catfish), 72 nucleotides. NCBI's taxonomy places the organism in Eukaryota, Metazoa, Chordata, Actinopteri, Siluriformes, Pangasiidae. The record is from the annotation of a GenBank genome assembly.
UCCCUUGAAGACUAGUGGUUAGGCCUCAGCGCUCUCAGCGCUGCAGCCCGGGUUCAUAUCCCUGCCAGGGAA